UACGUAGGGGGCGAGCGUUGUCCGGAAUCAUUGGGCGUAAAGCGCGUGUAGGCGGUCCGGUAAGUCCGCUGUGAAAGUCGGGGGCUCAACCCUCGAAAGCCGGUGGAUACUGUCGGGCUAGAGUACGGAAGAGGCGAGUGGAAUUCCUGGUGUAGCGGUGAAAUGCGCAGAUAUCAGGAGGAACACCAAUUGCGAAGGCAGCUCGCUGGGACGUUACUGACGCUGAGACGCGAAAGCGUGGGGAGCAAACAGG
This 253-nucleotide ribosomal RNA is filed under the name uncultured bacterium. Its description in RNAcentral is "partial 16S ribosomal RNA". It matches the Rfam family "Bacterial small subunit ribosomal RNA", at positions 524 to 776 of the family's 1533-position model. The record is from RNAcentral.